RNAcentral lists this ribosomal RNA (1435 nucleotides) under uncultured organism. Its description in RNAcentral is "SSU rRNA". It matches the Rfam family "Bacterial small subunit ribosomal RNA". The record is from RNAcentral.
CAGGCUUAACACAUGCAAGUCGAGGGGCAGCAUGGUCUUAGCUUGCUAAGACUGAUGGCGACCGGCGCACGGGUGAGUAACACGUAUCCAACCUGCCGUCUACUCUUGGACAGCCUUCUGAAAGGAAGAUUAAUACAAGAUGGCAUCAUGAGUCCGCAUGUUCACAUGAUUAAAGGUAUUCCGGUAGACGAUGGGGAUGCGUUCCAUUAGAUAGUAGGCGGGGUAACGGCCCACCUAGUCUUCGAUGGAUAGGGGUUCUGAGAGGAAGGUCCCCCACAUUGGAACUGAGACACGGUCCAAACUCCUACGGGAGGCAGCAGUGAGGAAUAUUGGUCAAUGGGCGAGAGCCUGAACCAGCCAAGUAGCGUGAAGGAUGACUGCCCUAUGGGUUGUAAACUUCUUUUAUAAAGGAAUAAAGUCGGGUAUGCAUACCCGUUUGUAUGUACUUUAUGAAUAAGGAUCGGCUAACUCCGUGCCAGCAGCCGCGGUAAUACGGAGGAUCCGAGCGUUAUCCGGAUUUAUUGGGUUUAAAGGGAGCGUAGAUGGAUGUUUAAGUCAGUUGUGAAAGUUUGCGGCUCAACCGUAAAAUUGCAGUUGAUACUGGAUAUCUUGAGUGCAGUUGAGGCAGGCGGAAUUCGUGGUGUAGCGGUGAAAUGCUUAGAUAUCACGAAGAACUCCGAUUGCGAAGGCAGCCUGCUAAGCUGCAACUGACAUUGAGGCUCGAAAGUGUGGGUAUCAAACAGGAUUAGAUACCCUGGUAGUCCACACGGUAAACGAUGAAUACUCGCUGUUUGCGAUAUACGGCAAGCGGCCAAGCGAAAGCGUUAAGUAUUCCACCUGGGGAGUACGCCGGCAACGGUGAAACUCAAAGGAAUUGACGGGGGCCCGCACAAGCGGAGGAACAUGUGGUUUAAUUCGAUGAUACGCGAGGAACCUUACCCGGGCUUAAAUUGCAGAUGAAUUACGGUGAAAGCCGUAAGCCGCAAGGCAUCUGUGAAGGUGCUGCAUGGUUGUCGUCAGCUCGUGCCGUGAGGUGUCGGCUUAAGUGCCAUAACGAGCGCAACCCUUGUUGUCAGUUACUAACAGGUUCCGCUGAGGACUCUGACAAGACUGCCAUCGUAAGAUGUGAGGAAGGUGGGGAUGACGUCAAAUCAGCACGGCCCUUACGUCCGGGGCUACACACGUGUUACAAUGGGGGGUACAGAGGGCCGCUACCACGCGAGUGGAUGCCAAUCCCCAAAACCUCUCUCAGUUCGGACUGGAGUCUGCAACCCGACUCCACGAAGCUGGAUUCGCUAGUAAUCGCGCAUCAGCCACGGCGCGGUGAAUACGUUCCCGGGCCUUGUACACACCGCCCGUCAAGCCAUGGGAGCCGGGGGUACCUGAAGUGCGUAACCGCGAGGAGCGCCCUAGGGUAAAACUGGUGACUGGGGCU